RNAcentral lists this ribosomal RNA (253 nucleotides) under uncultured bacterium. RNAcentral describes it as "partial 16S ribosomal RNA". It matches the Rfam family "Bacterial small subunit ribosomal RNA", at positions 524 to 776 of the family's 1533-position model. The record is from RNAcentral.
UACGAAGGGGGCUAGCGUUGCUCGGAAUCACUGGGCGUAAAGCGCACGUAGGCGGCUUUCUAAGUCGGUGGUGAAAUCCUGGAGCUCAACUCCAGAACUGCCUUCGAUACUGAGAGUCUCGAGUCCGAGAGAGGUGAGUGGAACUGCGAGUGUAGAGGUGAAAUUCGUAGAUAUUCGCAAGAACACCAGUGGCGAAGGCGGCUCACUGGCUCGGUACUGACGCUGAGGUGCGAAAGCGUGGGGAGCAAACAGG